UGAUUGAUGGAGCAGCAGAUGCAGUUACUAACAUUUCUUCUGAAAAGCCAGUGACUGUGCCAUGAGAAAAUGAAGCACGUCAGCCCAGGCUCUCCAAAAGGUGAGGGAAUCUCCUUUCAGGGACCUAAUAAUUAUACAAGAUUCUGAGCUUUGAAACAAAUCCUUUCAUUAAGAGUGUACAUAUUAUAUUGUGUUCUGUCUAAACCGGUUUCAUGGUGUGUGUUGUUUCAAAUUUUAUGGCUUAUAGAACUAGAAGGAUUUCCAAUUCCCUCAUUUUGUAGGCUAACAGGUCCAGUGACAAAUGACAGGAAGAGUUUUUUUAAGUCAGUAAUUUAUGUUGGUAGAAGGAGAGAAUUUGACAUAUUGUUGCUUGGUUUUUUGUUUUUUUUUCCCCCUAAUGGAGAAAUUCUUUUCUUUCUGGUAUCACACUGCCUGCAUGGCGACCUAGGAAGUCUAAAGUAUGUUCCAAUCUCAGGUUCAUUCCAUCUCUCUCUGUUUCAUAGACUUCUACCUUGUAUAUUCUGAGUCCCUUUUCUCUCAAAAGGUGGUUUGACAUUUCCUACUCUAGCUCAUUUUACAGAUGAGGGAAUUUAGGCAAACAGAGUUAAGUGACUUGCCUAGGGCCAUCCAGCUAGUAAGAGUCUGAGGGCAGAUUCGAACUCAGGGAGAUGAAGGUCCCUUAUUCCUGGCCCAGUGCUCUAUCCAUAGCACCAUCUAGCCACCCUGGGAUUUUAAUUUAGGUCCUGUGACAACUGAGGCUCUACAACUCCAAGUUCAGCCCUGUUUCCACUGCACCAUACUCUGAACUUAAUAAGUUAUGAUUAAAUGUUCAUUGAUGAUGAUGAUAAUGAUAUUUGCUUAACAAAGUUGAUGAUGUAUUUUUGUGGCUGGGGGAGUGUGUGUUUUGGUAGUUCCCUCUGCAGAGUGGCCCUCUAUGUACACUUGCUAUCAACCACUCUAGUGUCUAGGGGUGGGUGGGGGAUGGUUGCCAGGAAAGGGGAUGUGAUAGCAAUGCAUCAUUUCUAUUUAAAGACAGCUUUAAUUAGACAGUGGACUGAAGACCAAAAGCAAGGUGCAUCAAAGACUGAAGGCAAGAGGCAAUUGAGGCAAAAGCACUAA
Molecule: long non-coding RNA, 1119 nt
Filed under: Monodelphis domestica (gray short-tailed opossum)
Lineage: Eukaryota; Metazoa; Chordata; Mammalia; Didelphimorphia; Didelphidae
Description: lncRNA (ENSMODG00000037257.1)
Source: RNAcentral